This 63-nucleotide transfer RNA is filed under the name Orosius orientalis. RNAcentral's name for it is "tRNA-Tyr". Lineage: Eukaryota; Metazoa; Arthropoda; Insecta; Hemiptera; Cicadellidae. The record is from RNAcentral.
GUUAAGAUGUCUGAUUUAAAAGUGGUAAACUGUAAAUUUACUUAUGGGGUUUCCCUCUUAAUA